GCAGGGGAUCGCAAGACCUUGUGCUUUUAGAGCGGCCGAUGCCUGAUUAGCUUGUUGGUGAGGUAAAAGCUUACCAAGGCUUCGAUCAGUAGCUGGUCUGAGAGGACGACCAGCCACACUGGGACUGAGACACGGCCCAGACUCCUACGGGAGGCAGCAGUGGGGAAUUUUGGACAAUGGGGGCAACCCUGAUCCAGCCAUGCCGCGUGAGUGAAGAAGGCCUUCGGGUUGUAAAGCUCUUUCAGUCGGAACGAAACGGUUACGGUUAAUACCCGUGACUACUGACGGUACCGGAAGAAGAAGCACCGGCUAACUACGUGCCAGCAGCCGCGGUAAUACGUAGGGUGCGAGCGUUAAUCGGAAUUACUGGGCGUAAAGCGUGCGCAGGUGGUAUUGUAAGUCAGAUGUGAAAUCCCCGGGCUUAACCUGGGAACUGCGUUUGAAACUACAAUACUAGAGUGUAGCAGAGGGGGGUGGAAUUCCGCGUGUAGCAGUGGAAUGCGUAGAGAUGUGGAGGAACACCGAUGGCGAAGGCAGCCCCCUGGGUUAACACUGACACUCAGGCACGAAAGCAUGGGGAGCAAACAGGAUUAGAUACCCUGGUAGUCCAUGCCCUAAACGAUGUCAACUAGUUGUCGGGCCUUUGCGGGCUUGGUAACGUAGCUAACGCGUGAAGUCGACCGCCUGGGGAGUACGAUCGCAAGAUUAAAACUCAAAGGAAUUGACGGGGACCCGCACAAGCGGUGGAUUAUGUGGAUUAAUUCGA
Molecule: ribosomal RNA, 766 nt
Filed under: uncultured bacterium
Lineage: Bacteria
Description: bacterial SSU rRNA
Rfam family: Bacterial small subunit ribosomal RNA
Source: RNAcentral